UGGGCAGCGCGCGUCACCCAGGACGAGGAAGCCGGUGAGAAUCCGGCACGGUCGCGCCACUGUGAACGGGAUUUCCGUGAGUCAGGAACUCG
This 92-nucleotide non-coding RNA is filed under the name Dermacoccus nishinomiyaensis. Lineage: Bacteria; Bacillati; Actinomycetota; Actinomycetes; Micrococcales; Dermacoccaceae. The record is from RNAcentral.